UGAUCUUGGCUCACUGCAACCUCCGCCUCCCGAGCUCAAGUGAUCCUCCCACCUCAGCUUCCUGAGAAGCUGGGACUACAGAAAUGAAGUCUCACUAUGUUGACCAGGGUGGUCUCCAACUCCUAGGCUCCAGCCAUACUCCCUUCUCAGCCUCCCAAAGUGCAAUUCUCCGUCCUCAGCCACCGAAAGCCCUGGGAUUAAAGGCAUGAGCCACUGCACCUGGCUCACACACAUUUUGAGAAUUUGAAAACAACUCUAUUGUGUUAAACGCUGAAAUUCUGAGAUUCCUGCAGGUAGACACCAAGGAUCUCCUCAGAGCCAGCGCUGAUCUCAUCCACAGAGGGAUCACAUGACCUCAUCUGGGAAAAUAUAAACCCUACCCACCUGCCUGCCCGUUUGGAAAUGCAGACUGCAGGACGCUAAGUUCAUUCUUACCUAUGUACUAAUAACAAGUACACAAGAAGAUGCUCAAUAUCAUUAGUCCUUGGGGAAAUGCAUAUUAGAUUAUAAUGAGAUUCCAGUGUACACCCACUAGAAGGCUAUUAAAAAGGACAAUACCAACUGUUGGCAACAAUGUGGAGAAAUGGAACCCCUCCUACGUUUCUGAUGAGAAUGUAAAAUGGUGCAGAUACUUUGGAAAACAGUUUGGCAAUUUAUUAAAAGAUUAAAUAAGCAUAAA
Gorilla gorilla gorilla (western lowland gorilla) is the source of this 679-nucleotide long non-coding RNA. RefSeq lists it as uncharacterized. The record is from RefSeq and is a predicted model, not a curated record. The transcript is spliced from 3 exons. NCBI's taxonomy places the organism in Eukaryota, Metazoa, Chordata, Mammalia, Primates, Hominidae.